RNAcentral lists this transfer RNA (66 nucleotides) under Abispa ephippium (large potter wasp). RNAcentral describes it as "tRNA-Ile". The record is from RNAcentral. Lineage: Eukaryota; Metazoa; Arthropoda; Insecta; Hymenoptera; Vespidae.
AAUGAUGUGCCUGAUAAAAGGACUAUUUUGAUAGAAUAGAUUAUGUAUUUCAUUAUACCAUCAUUA